GAUGAACGCUGGCGGCGUGCUUAACACAUGCAAGUCGAACGGGAACCUCUGGAUUCGUCUGGAGGGGAGAGUGGCGAACGGGUGAGUAACACGUAUGUGACCUGCCUCGAAGACGGGGAUAACUGCUGGAAACGGUAGCUAAUACCCGAUGGUCUCGAUAAUUCGGUUUGUCGAGUAAAGGCUCCGGCGCUUUGAGAGGGACCUGCGGCCCAUCAGCUAGUUGGUAGGGUAACGGCCUACCAAGGCGAAGACGGGUAGGGGGCGUGAGAGCGUGACCCCCCACACUGGCACUGGGACACGGGCCAGACUCCUACGGGAGGCAGCAGUGAGGAAUAUUGCGCAAUGAGCGAAAGCUAGACGCAGCAACGCCGCGUGGGUGAUGAAGGCCUUCGGGUCGUAAAACCCUUUUCUGGGGGAAGAGUAAGGACGGUACCCCAGGAAUAAGCCUCGGCUAACUAUGUGCCAGCAGCCGCGGUAAUACAUAGGAGGCAAGCGUUAUCCGGGUUUACUGGGCGUAAAGAGCGUUGAGGCGGCUUCGUAAGUUGGACGUGAAAGCUCCCGGCUUAACUGGGAGAGGCCGUUCAAUACUGCGGGGCUUGAGGACAGCAGAGGGGGGUGGAAUUUCCGGUGUAGUGGUGAAAUGCGUAGAUAUCGGAAGGAACACCAGUGGCGAAGGCGGCCCCCUGGGCUGCUCCUGACGCUGAAGGCGAAAGCUAGGGUAGCGAACGGGAUUAGAAACCCCGGUAGUCCUAGCCGUAAACGAUGGAUACUAGGUGUAGGAGGUUAAAACUCCUUCUGUGCCGGAGCUAACGCGUUAAGUAUCCCGCCUGGGGAGUACGGUCGCAAGGCUAAAACUCAAAGGAAUUGACGGGGGCCCGGACAAGCAGCGGAGCGUGUGGUUUCAUUCGAUGCAACGCGAAGAACCUUACCAGGGCUUGACUUGUAGGUAGUAGUGAAGCGAAAGCGGAACGAUCCUUCGGGAAGCCUACACAGGUGCUGCAUGGCUGUCGUCAGCUC
RNAcentral lists this ribosomal RNA (1017 nucleotides) under uncultured organism. Its description in RNAcentral is "bacterial SSU rRNA". It matches the Rfam family "Bacterial small subunit ribosomal RNA", at positions 28 to 1061 of the family's 1533-position model. The record is from RNAcentral.